Molecule: ribosomal RNA, 233 nt
Filed under: uncultured bacterium
Lineage: Bacteria
Description: partial 16S ribosomal RNA
Rfam family: Bacterial small subunit ribosomal RNA
Source: RNAcentral
GAUCAUGGCUCAGGAUGAACGCUAGCUACAGGCUUAACACAUGCAAGUCGAGGGGCAGCAUGUAUCUGGCUUGCCAGAUAUGAUGGCGACCGGCGCACGGGUGAGUAACGCGUAUCCGACCUGCCGCACACUCCGGGAUAGCCUUGCGAAAGCAAGUUUAAUACCGGAUGCCGUAAUGGCGCCGCAUGGUGUUUUUACGAAAAGGGGAUUUACCGGUGUGCGAUGGGGAUGCG